Molecule: unclassified non-coding RNA, 821 nt
Filed under: Hevea brasiliensis (rubber tree)
Lineage: Eukaryota; Viridiplantae; Streptophyta; Magnoliopsida; Malpighiales; Euphorbiaceae
Source: RNAcentral
CUCUGGCUAAUCUGUAAAAACAUCAUAGCUGAUACAGAAAAUGAUCAUAAGAAAAAGGGGUUUGAUCAUUCAAGGAAAAUCCAAUUUUCUCGCACAACCUUUGUCAUUGCACUGUAUUUCACCUCAUCAGGAAGGAAAUGAUAAUAUAAUCAAGAUCUAAUCCUUGGAUGUUAUCAUUCUUUACAUAAGCUUUUGAUCUAGAACCAAAAUGGUAGUGAACUUCCAGGGAACCUUCAUUGGGAUAAUUAUCCUUCCUUCUAGUAGAAAUGUUGUAAAAGAAUGUUCAACAUCAGCAAGAACAUGCAAAGAAUCAUAACUGCAUACCUAAUUUGACCCAGUGAGAAAAGGAUAAGAGAUAAGUAGGAACCAAAAUGCAGUGGACCCAAUGAGUCACAAAAGUUCAAGCAUAAUCAGGCAUCACUCUUUUCAGGAAUGUAAUUGGUUGGGAUUCUUCAGAGGCAAGCUUGUCAAAAGCAAUGUAAUUUUCAUCCUUGUCAUAAACAUGGCACAUUGUCAUUAUUGUCUUCAUUAAACGCCAAUUCCAUGUAGCCUCAUUUAGAUACUUUCCCCAAUUGUCUUGAAUAGAUUUAUGAGCUGCCCGUAGAUUAUAGCUUGGUAUCCUUGCAGAAAUAUGGUGGGGGAUGUGGACACUGAUAUCAUGACAGAGGACCUCAAUCCUGCAAAGUGGAAAAUCAUCAAUUUUUCACUUAUUUUUACAGGUAGCAAGUAUUUUAUCAUGCAAACCAGCAACUAAGGGAAAUUUUAGAUCUUUUCUGGCUGCAUUCGUUUGAAACAAUUCCAGUCUUGAAAAGACUUUAAGC